Molecule: ribosomal RNA, 474 nt
Filed under: Bacteroidetes bacterium oral taxon 272
Lineage: Bacteria; Pseudomonadati; Bacteroidota
Description: bacterial SSU rRNA
Rfam family: Bacterial small subunit ribosomal RNA
Source: RNAcentral
GAUGAACGCUAGCUACAGGCUUAACACAUGCAAGUCGUGGGGCAUCAUGAUGUAGUAAUACAUUGAUGGCGACCGGCGCACGGGUGAGUAACGCGUAUCCAACCUACCCUCCACUCAAGUAUAGGCUUCCGAAAGGGAGAUUAAUCCUUGAUAUCGUCAUUCUCUCUCCUGUUAGAAUGAUAAAAGGACAUCGUUUCGGUAGAGGAUGGGGAUGCGUUCCAUUAGGUAGUAGGUGGUUUAACAGGCCACCUAGCCGAUGAUGGAUAGGGGUUCUGAGAGGAAUAUCCCCCACACUGGUACUGAGAUACGGACCAGACUCCUACGGGAGGCAGCAGUGAGGAAUAUUGGUCAAUGGGCGCAAGCCUGAACCAGCCAUGUAGCGUGAAGGAUGACGGUUUUUUUGAUUGUAAACUUCUUUUCUGUGCGAUUAAAGUGUGGCAUUUAUGCCAUAUUGCAGUAUUUCAGGAAUAAGCU